Molecule: long non-coding RNA, 293 nt
Organism: Haliotis rubra (blacklip abalone)
Lineage: Eukaryota; Metazoa; Mollusca; Gastropoda; Lepetellida; Haliotidae
Exons: 3
Source: RefSeq, a predicted model, not a curated record
AACACUGUUCAAACAAGCGACACGUCAACAACAGCUACAGCCGAUGGCUCAUGUUCAGGGGACUCUGACUGCAGUGCAUUUCCGACUACAAGUUGCCAUGCUGGUUUCUGUACAUGUGGUAUAGGAUACGAUCUGGAUGUUGCUAGAGCAGUUUGCAGGGACUUAAGAGAGUGUACCACCUUCGGAACAGAAUACAUCCAUUUCCCAGGACAGGUUAUUUGGAGAGAAGAUAUAGAGUCAAACCCCUCCUCAUAUCCUGUAGCACAAUGUGUUCAAUUAUGCAAUGAAGCUUC